UCUUGGUGAUCUUGAUAGCGCUGAAGAUGUGCUUGCUGCAGCGUGUGAUGCACGCAAGUUUGUCCCGGGGAACCCUCUUGGAGUCCAUCUCAAUGAUAUCUGCCAACCAGAAAUGAAGAUAGAAAAGCAACUUAAAUGCAGGUAACCUACAGCAUUGCCACAACAUAUGGAGCUGACUGGUCUAAUCUGCGAUGUGUGAACCUAUUUUCCACAGAUCUAGAGGUAGCAGACAUUCAUUUAUUUUAAAGCCUUAAG
This is a long non-coding RNA of Cynoglossus semilaevis (tongue sole), 255 nucleotides long. RefSeq lists it as uncharacterized. The transcript is spliced from 2 exons. The record is from RefSeq and is a predicted model, not a curated record. NCBI's taxonomy places the organism in Eukaryota, Metazoa, Chordata, Actinopteri, Pleuronectiformes, Cynoglossidae.